UGUAGCCUGGGAAAUGACUGACCUGA
This 26-nucleotide non-coding RNA is filed under the name Homo sapiens (human). The record is from RNAcentral. Lineage: Eukaryota; Metazoa; Chordata; Mammalia; Primates; Hominidae.